UGGGGAAUAUUGGACAAUGGGGGAAACCCUGAUCCAGCCAUGCCGCGUGCGUGAAGAAGGCCUUAGGGUUGUAAAGCGCUUUCGGCGGGGAAGAUGAUGACGGUACCCGCAGAAGAAGCCCCGGCUAACUCCGUGCCAGCAGCCGCGGUAAUACGGAGGGGGCUAGCGUUGUUCGGAAUUACUGGGCGUAAAGGGCGCGUAGGCGGGCGAUCAAGUCAGACGUGAAAUCCCUCGGCUUAACCGGGGAACUGCGUCUGAUACUGGAUGGCUUGAGGUUGGGAGAGGGAUGCGGAAUUCCAGGUGUAGCGGUGAAAUGCGUAGAUAUCUGGAGGAACACCGGUGGCGAAGGCGACAUCCUGGACCAAUUCUGACGCUGAGGAGCGAAAGCCAGGGGAGCAAACGGGAUUAGAUACCCCAGUAGUCCCUGAGCGGGCUGGCAAGGCGCAU
This 447-nucleotide ribosomal RNA is filed under the name uncultured bacterium. RNAcentral describes it as "bacterial SSU rRNA". It matches the Rfam family "Bacterial small subunit ribosomal RNA", at positions 355 to 825 of the family's 1533-position model. The record is from RNAcentral.